Molecule: ribosomal RNA, 702 nt
Filed under: uncultured Sphingomonadaceae bacterium
Lineage: Bacteria; Pseudomonadati; Pseudomonadota; Alphaproteobacteria; Sphingomonadales; Sphingomonadaceae
Description: bacterial SSU rRNA
Rfam family: Bacterial small subunit ribosomal RNA
Source: RNAcentral
AACGAACGCUGGCGGCAUGCCUAACACAUGCAAGUCGAACGAAGGCUUCGGCCUUAGUGGCGCACGGGUGCGUAACGCGUGGGAAUCUGCCCUUGGGUUCGGAAUAACAGUGAGAAAUUACUGCUAAUACCGGAUGAUGACUUCGGUCCAAAGAUUUAUCGCCCAAGGAUGAGCCCGCGUAAGAUUAGCUAGUUGGUGAGGUAAAGGCUCACCAAGGCGACGAUCUUUAGCUGGUCUGAGAGGAUGAUCAGCCACACUGGGACUGAGACACGGCCCAGACUCCUACGGGAGGCAGCAGUGGGGAAUAUUGGACAAUGGGCGAAAGCCUGAUCCAGCAAUGCCGCGUGAGUGAUGAAGGCCUUAGGGUUGUAAAGCUCUUUUACCAGGGAUGAUAAUGACAGUACCUGGAGAAUAAGCUCCGGCUAACUCCGUGCCAGCAGCCGCGGUAAUACGGAGGGAGCUAGCGUUGUUCGGAAUUACUGGGCGUAAAGCGCACGUAGGCGGCCAUUCAAGUCAGAGGUGAAAGCCCGGGGCUCAACCCCGGAACUGCCUUUGAAACUAGAUGGCUUGAAUCUUGGAGAGGCGAGUGGAAUUCCGAGUGUAGAGGUGAAAUUCGUAGAUAUUCGGAAGAACACCAGUGGCGAAGGCGACUCGCUGGACAAGUAUUGACGCUGAGGUGCGAAAGCGUGGGGAGCAAACAGG